RNAcentral lists this ribosomal RNA (253 nucleotides) under uncultured bacterium. RNAcentral describes it as "partial 16S ribosomal RNA". It matches the Rfam family "Bacterial small subunit ribosomal RNA", at positions 524 to 776 of the family's 1533-position model. The record is from RNAcentral.
UACGUAGGGUGCAAGCGUUAAUCGGAAUUACUGGGCGUAAAGCGUGCGCAGGCGGUUAUGCAAGACAGAUGUGAAAUCCCCGGGCUCAACCUGGGAACUGCAUUUGUGACUGCAUGGCUAGAGUGCGGCAGAGGGGGAUGGAAUUCCGCGUGUAGCAGUGAAAUGCGUAGAUAUGCGGAGGAACACCGAUGGCGAAGGCAGGUCUCUGGGCUGACACUGACGCUCAUGCACGAAAGCGCGGGGAGCAAACAGG